CACCACCAUCAAACCACGUCCU
RNAcentral lists this non-coding RNA (22 nucleotides) under Arabidopsis thaliana (thale cress). Lineage: Eukaryota; Viridiplantae; Streptophyta; Magnoliopsida; Brassicales; Brassicaceae. The record is from RNAcentral.